UCUCUCUCUCGGUGAACCCUAGCUUUGUUAUGUGCAUAUUUUCAACCCUAACAAGCUUCGUCUACCCGAGGGCUGAAACCCUAGGGUUUUGGCCGCCAUGUCUUUUUCACUGCCGUGUCUGUCUCAAUCACCGGUGACCUUUUGGUAAGUCUCUCUCCUGAUCUGUGAACAAUGAAUGUAAAUGUGUUAGAUCUAGUGAUUUGGUGAACUGGGUCUCUUGCUUGGAUAGAUCUGGUAGAUCUAGUGAAAUAUCGAGUGGGAGUUUCAAGGUUUUUUUGGGAUUUCUCUUUUUCUAUCUUAGUGGGUUUUUUUUUUUUUUUUGGGUUCGGUUCUUGUUCUUUAUUUCUUUUUUUCCUUACAAUCUGAACAAAUCUCGAUAGAUUUGAAGAGAUUUUGUUUAGAUUUGAGUCAUUAAGAAAAUCUCGGUUCUUGUUCUUUAUUUCUUUUUUUUUUUCGAAUGGUUGUGCUAGCAUUUAAAGUGUUUGGUAGGUUUGCCUUGUUAGGGCUUACUUUGUUAUAGGUAGUUUCGCCUUCUUCCCUGAAUCUUGUGUAUGUUGAUACCUUAUCCCCUUUGCUCUGUCCAUUUAUAUAUUCUGUAGGAGGAAAAGGGUUCGAGCGAAAUUGUCUUCAAGGCAAUGGGAAGAGCCAUUAACAAGACCGUGACAAUUGUGGAGUUAAUAAAGAGAAGAAUUGUUGGCCUUCAUCAUAAUACUUCAAUUGGAUCCACCGACAUAACUGAUACAUGGGAGCCCCUAGAGGAAGGCCUCCUUCAAUUGGAAACCACUGAU
Long non-coding RNA from Carya illinoinensis, 788 nucleotides. RefSeq lists it as uncharacterized. The record is from RefSeq and is a predicted model, not a curated record. NCBI's taxonomy places the organism in Eukaryota, Viridiplantae, Streptophyta, Magnoliopsida, Fagales, Juglandaceae. The transcript is spliced from 3 exons.